RNAcentral lists this ribosomal RNA (497 nucleotides) under uncultured bacterium. RNAcentral describes it as "partial 16S ribosomal RNA". It matches the Rfam family "Bacterial small subunit ribosomal RNA", at positions 28 to 507 of the family's 1533-position model. The record is from RNAcentral.
GAUGAACGCUGGCGGCGUGCCUAACACAUGCAAGUCGAGCGAAAAGAUGAGGCGCUUGCCUCCCUGACGGUAGCGGCGGACGGGUGAGUAACACGUGGAUAACCUACCUAUAAGACUGGGAUAACUUCGGGAAACCGGAGCCAAUACCGGAUAAUAUAUUGAACCGCAUGGUUCAAUAGUGAAAGACGGUUUUGCUGUCACUUAUAGAUGGUUCCGCGCCGCAUUAGCUAGUUGGUAAGGUAACGGCUUACCAAGGCGACGAUCCGUAGCCGACCUGAGAGGGUGAUCAGCCACACUGGAACUGAGACACGGUCCAGACUCCUACGGGAGGCAGCAGUAGGGAAUCUUGCACAAUGGGCGAAAGCCUGACGGAGCAACGCCGCGUGAAUGAUGAAGGUCUUCGGAUCGUAAAACUCUGUUAUUAGGGAAGAACAAAUGUGUAAGUAACUAUGCACGUAUUGACGUUACCUAAUCAGAAAGCCACGGCUAACUACGUG